AAGGAAAAAGCAGGUUAAGAGUCAUUCACACACAGAAUGAUACACUCUAACAGCCUCUGAGACAGCGCCACUCCUCCUUCACCAAGGAUAUAUUAACUCAUAUUGAGAGAGGAAAAUACGGAAAAAAAAGCAGGCAGCAGACCUACAGACAAUGGAUCCCCUCCCAAUCUACUGAGGCUGCAGGGAAGCACUGACGGAUUUCCAGUAAGGAAGUGCCUCUCAUCCUGGGAUUUUUAUUGCUGGUGUAUUUAUAGUGUAGGCGGUGGUGGUGGUACAGUGUCAUCAUCUGGACUGGAUUAUUUUGGGGGGCUACCCUCCUCUUAUGGAGGGGGCCAGGGAAGCAUGUGCUGCAGCCCCCCAGCUUGGAGGCUGGCCGGUGUGUGUUAUACCUUCUCCUGCCCUGAGACAGCACCAGCUGUGCCCCCGCUGCACCUGGAUCCUGGGGACCACCUAAAGAACGGUGACAUUCUGUUUUAGAAUCCUGGGCGUGUUCCAAUGGAACCCUGGCGGACUAGCCAGGCACCAGCAGUGAUCUCGGACUAGCAUGAUGCACAGACGCUGAUUUGAAACCCCUCCCCAGGGUAAAAAUGAUGGCAUCAAAGGAUGGUGGCAUGGACAGCUGUGACCUGAAGACGGCCAGGCUGUGGAGGGACGCGGCUCUGAGGUCCAGGAAGCUGAGGAGCAGCCUCCGCCAGCUGACACUGAGUUGUGGGGAGCAGAGCAAGCUCACCUUACCUGAGAACCUGUCUGAUGUGGAGGUGCUCAAUUUGGGCAACAACUCUCUGGAGGAGGUGCCUGAUGGCUUGCAGAGCCUGGCUGAGGGCAACCUGCACGUCCUGAUUUUGCGCAGAAACAAGUUCCUCAGUGUCCCAUCGGCGGUGUAUGAGCUGGGCAGGCUGACUGAGUUGGACAUCAGCCACAACCGGCUCACUUGCCUGACUGAGGCGGUGGGGCUGCUGAGCCAGUUGAAGAAGCUCUGCCUCAGCCACAACCAGCUCCAAACGUUACCCAAGGUGAUGGGUGGGCUGCUCCACCUGGAGGAGCUGGACGUCAGCUUCAACCGCAUCAGCUACCUACCUGACACCAUGCAAGGGCUCCCCCGUCUCAGGACCCUGGACCUAGACCACAAUGAGCUGUGCCACUUCCCUCAGCAGCUCCUGCACCUGCCCACCCUGGAGGAGCUGGACUUCUCUGGCAACAAAAUGCUAGGUAGCAACUGUGGUGGUUCUCUUCCAGAGGACAUACGAGUUAUGAAGUCUCUCAAAGUCUUAUGGCUGAGCAGCACUGGGCUUUGCACUUUGCCCUACUCAUUUUGUGACCUUGUGAGCUUGGAAAGUCUCAUGCUGGACAAUAACCAUCUCGACUCCUUGCCUGCAGGUUUUGGGUCCCUGCAGAAGCUCAGGAUGAUCAACCUGUCUUCAAACUCCUUCCAGGACUUCCCCAACGCCCUCUUGCAGCUCCUGGAGCUGGAGGAGCUGUACAUAAGCCGUAACAACUUAAGUGUGGUUCCUGAGGAGAUAGCUAGAUUGUUCAGACUGGUGACCUUGUGGUUGGACAACAACAAGAUUAGGUAUCUACCAGACUCUAUUGUGAAUCUCAGUUUAUUGGAGGAGCUUGUGUUGCAAGGUAACCAAAUAGCAAUACUUCCAGAAAACUUUGGGAAGCUCUCCAAAGUGAAUAUCUGGAAGAUCAAAGACAACCCUUUGAUACAGCCUCCUUAUGAGGUAUGCAUGAAAGGAAUUCCUUACAUUGCUGCUUAUCAAAAAGAACUUGCCCAUUCUCAGCCUGCUGUGAGGCCAAGGUUAAAGUUGGUCUUCAUGGGCCUGAAGAAUGCAGGUAAGACUAUUCUUAGGAAUUGUUUGACUGAGGGUCAGCAAGUCACCCCCAUUGUGGGAAAUAAAGGAAUUGAAGUUACAAACUGGACUGCUGAUGCUGAGAGGAGACUCACUUUUAUAGUGUAUGACUUAGCCGGGGACCAGAGCUAUGAUAUCAUUAAACCAUUUUUCCUUUCCCCUGGUGCUUUGUACAUUUUAGUGGUUAAUUUAAAGUCCUACAUUUCCAAUAAUUUUUAUACCUACAUUGGUUACUUUUUACAUUUUAUCAGUGCCAAGGUACCACAUGCAGUUGUCUGCAUAGUUGGAACUCAUGCAGAUUUAUGCGACGAGACAGAAAUGGAGGAGAAAUGUCUGGAUAUACAUCAUCAAAUAUCCUUACAGGAAAAGAGGGACUCUGAGACUCUGCACAAUAUAGCUGAAAUUGUUGACGAAGCUUUGUGUCAGGACUAUGAUAUGCGUGCCUCAAACCCCCAUGCAGCUUUUUACGGUGUUAACGAUAAAAAUCUGAGGAGGAAGAAAGCUAAUUUUCAAUAUCUAAUGAACAAUCGUCUUCAGAUCCUUUCGCCUGUGCUUUGCGUUAGCUGCCACGACUAUUCGAAUAUCAGGCGGUUGAGGGAGAAGCUCUUGUCUGUCGCAGAACACCGUGAAAUCUUUCCGAACUUGCAUCGUGUUCUUCCGAAAUCCUGGCAAAUGUUAGAAGAAUUGCACUUUAAACCUCAGGAGCUCUGGCUGACCUGGUGGGACUCGGCCAGAUUGGGCCUACAAGCAGGGCUUACCGAAGACCGACUGCAGAGCGCCCUAUCCUAUUUACACGAAAGUGGGAAACUACUUUAUUUUGAAGAUAACACUACUCUUAAAGAGUACGUUUUUCAUAAUUUGACAAAACUGAUUGACAUUUUGAAUGUCUUUUUCCAGAGGGAUGCUUCGGUUCUAUUGCAGAAACUAGCUUGUGACAACAAAACUGAUGAUCUGAGGUCUACACAGCUUCUUCAUUAUGUGGAAGGGUUUCUUCUUCAUGGUUUGUUGCCUAAUCACAUUCUAAAGAUGUUACUUAAACCGCAUAUCAAAACGCAUCAGGACUUGCAGCUUAUCUUAGAACUUUUAGAAAAGAUGGGCCUCUGUUAUUGUAUCAACAAACCCAAAACCAAACCGUUGAAUGGGGUCACUGCUUGGUACAAGUUUCCAUGCUAUGUGAAGAAUGAGGUGCCUCAUGCGGAGGCCUGGAUCAAUGGUACAAACCUGUCUGGACAGUCGCUGGCUGUGGAACAGCUGCAGAUAGAAUACAGUUUUCCAUUUAUUUUCCCACCUGGAUUAUUUGCCCGAUUUAGCGUUCAAAUUAACAACCACAUAGUGCAACGUUCAGAUGGUAAAUUUCAGAUCUUUGCCUACAGGGGAAAAGUACCGGUGGUGGUGAGUUUUCGACCAGCUACAGGAGCCUUACAGUCAGACAUAUUGUCUAUUUCUAGUCAUGCUUCGUUGCCCAAUAUAUGGACAGCAUGGCAGGCUAUAACACCACUGGUUGAAGAACUCAAUGCGUUGCUACAAGAAUGGCCAGGCCUUUACUACACAGUGCAUGUUCUUUGUUCUAAGUGCCUUAAGAGAGGAUCACCCACUCCACACACCUUCCCAGGAGAGUUACUGACUCAGCCACGGCCAGAAGGAGUAACAGAAAUAAUCUGCCCCAAGAAUGGCAGCGAACGAGUGAACGUAGCCCUGGUGUAUCCCCCGACCCCAACAGUAAUCAGCCCCUGUUCCAAGUGAUAUCUUCAACGCCCUGCUUAUCCACUGCAGUAUUUAUGAACUAUUGAAAAUUAUGGAAUAUUUAAAUUUAGACAAUCGCUAACUACCCAAAAACAAGGACAGAGACCCAUUUGGUAUUUUAAAACAGAAGAGAAAACGUAAUUAUUUGGGAGGUGGAAAGAUAACUGCAAAACUUCAAGGAUAACAAAGUAUAGGAAUUCAUCGCUGCAAAUGGAUCGGGGAGGAAGAAAAUUAUAAAAAGCACUUGUUUGAAGAGCACGAACAACAUUUUUGUGCAGACGUGUCUUUCGAGGGACAGACUUUUUUUAAUGGGCAUGAAAUGUGUGUUCCUGAUAAAAAUGGGGGAUAAAUAUUGCAAUUCUAUUUAAAACUAAGAUUUCUUGUAUGGAUGGACUGCAAGUGCAAAAACUGCUAAUAAAUGGCUAUGGUAUCUCAGGGAUUUUGCUUGCCAUGCACAUUUAAGCCAUACUAUGUAAAAAAAAAAUGGUUGUAUUGUGAAAAAGCAGCUUUUUCAAAUUUAAAAGAAAAAUUAAUUCACUGAAGUUCACCGCUUUUCAUCUUGAAUAAAAUGGUCAUUCUUUUCAUAACAUGUGUACCCACGAAAAGCACACCAAUUUUCUACAUUUCAAAAUAUGUUUUGGUUCUAAAAAUCUGCAUGAAAAUACUGUAUUGUUUUAAAUUUUACUACCCAGUAAGGUGAUGGUGGCAGAAUAUUUUCAAAUCAUACCAAAUAUUCUUUGUAGCACAGUAAAAAUACAACCAUAUUUCCUGUGACAAAUCUGGACCAUUUCUGACACUGUAAUCUUUUUCGAACCAAUCAGAUCGUUCGUGUGUUUCAGUCAUCAUUCCAAACAAUGUAGUUGUUUGUAGACUGAUGGAAAAUUGUGUCUACCGAAUCAAAUUCCUUUUAAUCCCCCCCAAAAAUCAAUUCGUCCUGGAUUUACCUACCGAGUAUUAUUCAUUGAAUAAGACUCCACUGUUAAAUCCUAGUCAGAUAAAUUAGUUCGGGUGUGGAUACAAGGGGAUUUGAUUUGGAAGAAUUGGCUCGAACACACUUUUGCACAAGUCUAGUAGCUGAUCGAGACAUCCCUUGAUAAAGAUGGCUGUGUAGGUUAUGUUGAAACAGUGUUGUCCACCUCUUUGGGCAAAUUGGUCACCAAUUAAAUACUAAUAAGACAAACUUUUUUUUAUCUCUUGUGUAAUUGAAUAAAAUCUAUGGGAUCUCCCUUGUUGGCUGAGGGUCAUAUAAAGUCCCUUUCCUGGCCAAAAGUAUUUUAAUGGUGUAAUAUAAACACAUUGUGCACCAAAACUCCCUCACCCUAUGU
Pelobates fuscus (common spadefoot toad) is the source of this 4921-nucleotide RNA transcript. It is a transcript of the gene named multifunctional ROCO family signaling regulator 1, with no coding region annotated. The transcript is spliced from 3 exons. Lineage: Eukaryota; Metazoa; Chordata; Amphibia; Anura; Pelobatidae. The record is from RefSeq and is a predicted model, not a curated record.